GAUGAAGAACGUAGCGAAAUGCGAUAAGUAAUGUGAAUUGCAGAAUUCAGUGAAUCAUCGAAUCUUUGAACGCACAUUGCGCCCCUUGGUAUUCCGAGGGGCAUGCCUGUUCGAGCGUCAUUUCAACCCCUCAAGCUCAGCUUGGUGUUGGGCUGCGCCAGCGUGCUGGCGGGCCCUAAAAUCAGUGGCGGUGCCGCGUGGGCUCCAAGCGUAGUAGCAUCUCUCGCUCUGGGGACCCGGCGGUUGCCUGCCAGACAAUCACUAAAAAAACAAAAGGUUUGACCUCGGAUCAGGUAGGGAUACCCGCUGAACUUAAGCAUAUCAAUAAGCGGAGGA
RNAcentral lists this unclassified non-coding RNA (336 nucleotides) under soil metagenome. RNAcentral describes it as "partial contains 5.8S ribosomal RNA, internal transcribed spacer 2, and large subunit ribosomal RNA". The stretch from base 1 to 120 matches the Rfam family "5.8S ribosomal RNA", at positions 35 to 154 of the family's 154-position model. The record is from RNAcentral.